RNAcentral lists this ribosomal RNA (500 nucleotides) under uncultured bacterium. RNAcentral describes it as "partial 16S ribosomal RNA". It matches the Rfam family "Bacterial small subunit ribosomal RNA", at positions 30 to 523 of the family's 1533-position model. The record is from RNAcentral.
AUUGAACGCUGGCGGCAUGCCUUACACAUGCAAGUCGAACGGCAGCACGGGAGCAAUCCUGGUGGCGAGUGGCGAACGGGUGAGUAAAGUAUCGGAACGUGCCCAGUCGUGGGGGAUAACGUAGCGAAAGUUACGCUAAUACCGCAUACGAUCUAUGGAUGAAAGCGGGGGAUCGCAAGACCUCGCGCGAUUGCAGCGGCCGAUAUCAGACGAGGUAGUUGGUGGGGUAAAGGCUCAACAAGCCGACGAUCUGUAGCUGGUCUGAGAGGACGACCAGCCACACUGGGACUGAGACACGGCCCAGACUCCUACGGGAGGCAGCAGUGGGGAAUUUUGGACAAUGGGCGAAAGCCUGAUCCAGCCAUGCCGCGUGCAGGAUGAAGGCCUUCGGGUUGUAAACUGCUUUUGUACGGAACGAAAAGGUUUGGGCUAAUAAGCUGAGCUCAUGACGGUACCGUAAGAACAAGCACCGGCUAACUACGUGCCAGCAGCCGCCGUAA